Molecule: RNA transcript, 1641 nt
Organism: Triticum aestivum (bread wheat)
Lineage: Eukaryota; Viridiplantae; Streptophyta; Magnoliopsida; Poales; Poaceae
Gene name: MEIOTIC F-BOX protein MOF-like
Exons: 4
Source: RefSeq, a predicted model, not a curated record
AAAAAUAAGACAAGCCGACCCAGCAGUUCAGCCAGCCGUCGCACGCACAGGGUGAGAGAGUGAGACGCCGCCGGUUGCUUCGCACGGCUGCGUCGCCGCCGCCGCCGCCGCCGGCGACCAGGAGGCAGGACGCCCUACCACAUAGCUACCGGCUACUGCGAGCCGGCUGUUUGAUGAAAUGUCAGAGCUAGCUUCAAUCCCCUGCAGUUCCAAGAGGGCGCGAGGCACUAGUGAUGGUGUCGACAGGCUCAGCAGCCUUCCAGACGAGCUGCUACAUUGCGUGAUGUCCUUCCUGCCGAUGCCGGAGGCCGGGCGCACAAGUCUGCUCUCGCCGAGGUGGCUUAAUCUCUGGGCCUCUACGCCAUACAUCCGCAUCGACCACCAGGACUUUAUGGAUGACGGCAAGCUGAAGAAAUUCGGGGACCGCCUGCUGCUCAUGCGCGACAGAACUACUUCCUUGGAUAAAGCCUGGAUCUCUGUGCACCAUGUUGCUGAUAGGACCAUGUGUUAUGAGUGGAUUCGUCAUGCCAUCAUGCACAAUGUUCGUCUCCUUCAUGUUUCUGGAUCUGUCCUUUUGGAUAGCGCAGCCAUGUUUCCUUCAUAGCACCUCAGAACAGUCAGGCUCCGAUAUAACUUGUUGAGACAUGGGUUCUUUAGGCCACUGAACUGUGACUGCCCAGUGCUUGAGCAUUUAGAGCUGGAGCAUUGUGGUUUGUGGGACCUGAAGGAGAUAUCAUCGAGGUCACUCAAGGUUCUACGUAUCAUUGGUUGCGAUAUCUUUGAUGGUCUCGUGAUUUGUGCUAGCAACCUUACCCAUGUCUCUAUUGUUGACCCAAGCUGUGAUACUGGUGCUAUAGUAACUAGGGAUCUGUCUUCUCUAGUAACAGCCUCGAUUAGUCUGACAUCUAGGUUUCAUUAUUAUAAGCGAAACACAAUAGCGGAUCAUCGUCUACUUAAUGGCCUCUCACAUGCCACCACCUUGGAGUUGCAUGCACCAUUACCUGAGGUCUCGUUCGAGAGGAGUUUGAGGACAUGCCCGAUGUUCAGCAACCUGACAAGCCUGGUGCUGGGCGAGUGGUGCAUGGCUGCUGACUUCUACCCGCUGCUUCGCAUCCUCCAGCGCUCGUGCAAGCUGAAGGAGCUAAAACUUAAGCUCACAAAGGAGGAAUUUAGUACGUGCAAGGAUUCUGAACCUGCUCUGUCGUCAACAAGGGGAGCACUGCCGUCGGGCUCAGGCAGCCACCCUUGCAUCGAGAGGGUCAAAAUCUGCUGCCAUGAACAUGAUCCAAGGGUUAGCUCGUUGGUGCAGGCGUUGCAGCUGAUUGUCGGUGAUGUGAAAAUCAGCAUCGAGCAUCGCUGAUCUAUGGUAAACUAGACCUUGUUUUGUUUGGGGGACCUGCAACCGUUGGUCAGUGCCGAAUUAAUGUGUGGAGACAAGAUUGCUUUGGAGACGCUGGCGUUAACGACACAAGGGCAUGUUUUAGACAAUGGGUGUGGAUGUGUGGUCGAAUUUUGCUAUAAUCCACAUGUGAUGGUUAAUCUGACUAGUGUCAUUUGCAUGAUGGAUUAUGAGCUAGUUCUUUGAAAACGCUAUGUAAUGUGAGUUCUGAAAUCAUGUUUUAGAUGAUGGGUAUGAUCAAA